This 463-nucleotide ribosomal RNA is filed under the name uncultured Sphingobacteriales bacterium. RNAcentral's name for it is "partial 16S ribosomal RNA". It matches the Rfam family "Bacterial small subunit ribosomal RNA", at positions 379 to 788 of the family's 1533-position model. The record is from RNAcentral. Lineage: Bacteria; Pseudomonadati; Bacteroidota; Sphingobacteriia; Sphingobacteriales.
AAGUCUGAACCAGCCCAUGCCGCGURAMGGGAARAAAGCCCUUAUAGGGUUGUAAACCCCCUCUUUAUGGGGGACGAAACAACGGCUACGUCGUAGGAUCACYUGGAACGGACCGUAAGAAUAAGCAUCGGCUAACUCCGUGCCAGCAGCCGCGGUAAUACGGAGGAUGCAGAGCGUUAUCCGGAUUCAUUGGGUUUAAAGGGUGCGUAGGCGGAGUUAUAAGUCAGUGGUGAAAGCCURCAGCUUAACUGUAGAACUGCCAUUGAUACUGUCAUUCUUGAGUACUGUGGAGGUAGGCGGAAUGGGUCAUGUAGCGGUGAAAUGCUUAGAUAUGACACAGAACAGCGAUCGCGAAGGCAGSNUASSRASCAAUAACUGACGCUCAUGCACAAAGCGUGGGGAUCAAACAGGAUUAGAUAUAAGAUAUGACGCUAGAAAACACCUGAAUGGCGAAGGCAGGCCU